Molecule: ribosomal RNA, 449 nt
Filed under: uncultured bacterium
Lineage: Bacteria
Description: partial 16S ribosomal RNA
Rfam family: Bacterial small subunit ribosomal RNA
Source: RNAcentral
CCUACGGGUGGCUGCAGUGGGGAAUAUUGGACAAUGGGCGCAAGCCUGAUCCAGCAAUACCGCGUGUGUGAAGAAGGCCUUAGGGUUGUAAAGCCCUUUCACUGGGGAGGAAAACCUACCGGUCAAUACCCGGUAGCUUGACAUUACCUGUAGAAGAAGCACCGGCUAACUCCGUGCCAGCAGCCGCGGUAAUACGGAGGGUGCAAACGUUAAUCGGAGUUACUGGGCGUAAUGCGUGCGUAGGCAUGUCAAAGCCCCGGGCUUAACCUGGGAACUGCAGUUGAAACUGGCGGACUAGAGUUGAGUAGAGGGGAGUGGAAUUUCAGGUGUAGCGGUGAAAUGCGUAGAUAUCUGAAGGAACACCAGUGGCGAAGGCGACUCCCUGGACUCAAACUGACGCUGAGGUACGAAAGCGUGGGUAGCAAACAGGAUUAGAUAUCCCUGUAGUC